RNAcentral lists this ribosomal RNA (892 nucleotides) under Cordana terrestris. RNAcentral's name for it is "LSU rRNA". It matches the Rfam family "Eukaryotic large subunit ribosomal RNA", at positions 38 to 964 of the family's 3401-position model. Lineage: Eukaryota; Fungi; Ascomycota; Sordariomycetes; Coniochaetales; Cordanaceae. The record is from RNAcentral.
GCAUAUCAAUAAGCGGAGGAAAAGAAACCAACAGGGAUUGCCCUAGUAACGGCGAGUGAAGCGGCAACAGCUCAAAUUUGAAAUCUGGCUUCGGCCCGAGUUGUAAUUUGUAGAGGAUGCUUUUGGCGCGGUGCCUUCUGAGUUCCCUGGAACGGGACGCCAUAGAGGGUGAGAGCCCCGUAUAGUUGGACACCAAGCCUUUGUAAAGCUCCUUCGACGAGUCGAGUAGUUUGGGAAUGCUGCUCAAAAUGGGAGGUAAAUUUCUUCUAAAGCUAAAUACCGGCCAGAGACCGAUAGCGCACAAGUAGAGUGAUCGAAAGAUGAAAAGCACUUUGAAAAGAGGGUUAAAUAGCACGUGAAAUUGUUGAAAGGGAAGCGCUUAUGACCAGACUUGUUCCCGGUUGAUCAUCCAGUGUUCUCACUGGUGCACUCUGCCGGGGUCAGGCCAGCGUCGGUUCUCGCAGGGGGAUAAAAGCUUCGGGAACGUGGCUCCUCCGGGAGUGUUAUAGCCCGUUGCACAAUACCCUUGUGGGGACCGAGGUUCGCGCUCUGCAAGGACGCUGGCGUAAUGGUCAUCAGCGACCCGUCUUGAAACACGGACCAAGGAGUCGAGGUUUUGCGCGAGUGUUUGGGUGUAAAACCCGCACGCGUAAUGAAAGUGAACGUAGGUGAGAGCUUCGGCGCAUCAUCGACCGAUCCUGAUGUAUUCGGAUGGAUUUGAGUAAGAGCGUAUAGCCUCGGACCCGAAAGAUGGUGAACUAUGCCUGUAUAGGGUGAAGCCAGAGGAAACUCUGGUGGAGGCUCGCAGCGGUUCUGACGUGCAAAUCGAUCGUCAAAUAUGGGCAUGGGGGCGAAAGACUAAUCGAACCAUCUAGUAGCUGGUUACCGCCGA